CUUCUUUUUUUGUGGGGGGGGGAGAUACGUUUCAAUCAUUUGAUUUUGAUUUUCUUUUUUUUUAACACGAAGGCUCCUCCAGAGCCGGCCGUGUUGGAAAGGAAAUCUGUCCCGGUCGCUGCAAGUCGUCCUGUCUGCCCAGUGAAUAUGCAGUUCUCUCAUAUAAAUGCGAUCAUCCUGACCAUGUCUUCUGCUGCAAACAUUCAGAAAAUUCCCCAUUCAAAGCUGAGCAAAUAGCCUGUUGGGGUACAUGCCGGAAAGCCUGCUUACCUGGUGAAUAUCUGGCUUCAAGAACAGCCUGCCUUAGCAAGGACAAUGUCUUCUGUUGUACAGAGAAAGGUAAUGAUUCCUUUCUAUGCAUUUAUAUGCAAAUCAUGAUUUAUGGUGGAGGGCAAUUAUUCAUGAGACAUUUUAUAUAUAACCAAAUAUCUAACUAAAAUUUAAAAUUGAAAAGGAACAUUAGUGCUUUGAAAUGAAACGGCAAAAUGUGAACCUCCCCAUUUCAGUAUCUUACUACUUAUGCUGUCCAGUGAAAGCCCAAUGGCAUAAAUAUGCUGCCGGUUAAGAAUUCAGCACAUGUGUAUCUUGUUAUAGACCAGUUACAUGACUUGGGGCACAACAAUGAAAAACACUGAACUGAGAAAAAUCUCAUGCUAUGACAAUCAGAUGUCUUUCACCAGUGAUUGAGCACCACUUCUAGAUACGUGCUAAACAGAGAGUCUAGUGGGCGAUCACUUUUCACAUUGCACUUUAUCUCUUCAUACAUGUCCUUGCAGAAUGUAAAAAAGGCCAGUAAUAUCCUUUAGUAUGUAAUUAUAUAUAAGCAGUUGAUUAUAUAUGAUUUUAUUCAUCUUCUCUGUGUUGUAGGCACUGGAAAAUGAUAUUAUGAAAUUGUACCAGUCCCUUUGUUGAUGAUGCAUGCUUUUGUUAGCAUCUGAAAUGCAACCGAAAUGUGAAGAACAUCGUGGAAGAAGCUUUGGAACUGCUUUAAAAACCUUUAAAAAGCUGAGACUCCCAUGUCUUAUAAUUUUUUCACUUCUAAUAAAAUAAGACAUACAAAAUAUAUAAACA
This 1071-nucleotide long non-coding RNA is filed under the name Pogona vitticeps (central bearded dragon). RNAcentral describes it as "lncRNA (ENSPVIG00000006923.1)". Lineage: Eukaryota; Metazoa; Chordata; Lepidosauria; Squamata; Agamidae. The record is from RNAcentral.